GGGUUGUGAGGUUAAGUGACUAAGCGUACACGGUGGAUGCCUAGGCAGUCAGAGGCGAUGAAGGGCGUGCUAAUCUGCGAAAAGCGUCGGUAAGGUGAUAUGAACCGUUAUAACCGGCGAUACCCGAAUGGGGAAACCCAGUGUGUUUCGACACACUAUCAUGUCAUGAAUACAUAGUGGCAUGAGGCGAACCGGGGGGAACUGAAACAUCUAAGUACCCCGAGGAAAAGAAAUCAACCGAGAUUCCCCCAGUAGCGGCGAGCGAACGGGGAGGAGCCCAGAACCUGAAUCGGCUUGUGUGUUAGUGGAAGCGUCUGGAAAGUCGCGCAGCAAAGGGUGAUAGCCCCGUACACUAAAAUGCACAGGUCGUGAGUUCGAUGAGUAGGGCGGGACACGUGACAUCCUGUCUGAAUAUGGGGGGACCAUCCUCCAAGGCUAAAUACUCCUGACUGACCGAUAGUGAACCAGUACCGUGAGGGAAAGGCGAAAAGAACCCCGGCGAGGGGAGUGAAAUAGAACCUGAAACCGUGUACGUACAAGCAGUGGGAGCACCUUCGUGGUGUGACUGCGUACCUUUUGUAUAAUGGGUCAGCGACUUAUAUUUUGUAGCAAGGUUAACCGUAUAGGGGAGCCGUAGGGAAACCGAGUCUUAACUGGGCGAUUAGUUGCAAGGUAUAGACCCGAAACCCGGUGAUCUAGCCAUGGGCAGGUUGAAGGUUGGGUAACACUAACUGGAGGACCGAACCGACUAAUGUUGAAAAAUUAGCGGAUGACUUGUGGCUGGGGGUGAAAGGCCAAUCAAACCGGGAGAUAGCUGGUUCUCCCCGAAAGCUAUUUAGGUAGCGCCUCGUGAACUCAUCUUCGGGGGUAGAGCACUGUUUCGGCUAGGGGGGCCAUCCCGGCUUACCAAACCGAUGCAAACUCCGAAUACCGAAGAAUGUUAUCACGGGAGACACACGGCGGGUGCUAACGUCCGUCGUGAAGAGGGAAACAACCCAGACCGCCAGCUAAGGUCCCAAAGUCAUGGUUAAGUGGGAAACGAUGUGGGAAGGCAUAGACAGCCAGGAUGUUGGCUUAGAAGCAGCCAUCAUUUAAAGAAAGCGUAAUAGCUCACUGGUCGAGUCGGCCUGCGCGGAAGAUGUAACGGGCUAAACCAUGCACCGAAGCUGCGGCAGCGACGCUUAGGCGUUGUUGGGUAGGGAGCGUUCUGUAAGCCGUUGAAGGUGGCCUGUGAGGGUUGCUGGAGGUAUCAGAAGUGCGAAUGCUGACAUAAGUAACGAUAAAGCGGGUGAAAAGCCCGCUCGCCGGAAGACCAAGGGUUCCUGUCCAACGUUAAUCGGGGCAGGGUGAGUCGACCCUAAGGCGAGGCUGAAAAGCGUAGUCGAUGGGAAACAGGUUAAUAUUCCUGUACUUGGUGUUACUGCGAAGGGGGGACGGAGAAGGCUAGGCUAGCCGGGCGACGGUUGUCCCGGUUUAAGCGUGUAGGGGGUGUGACCUGGUAAAUCCGGUUGCAUACUAACCCUGAGGCGUGAUGACGAUGCACUACGGUGCAGAAGUAGUUGAUGCCCUGCUUCCAGGAAAAUCCUCUAAGCAUCAGGUAACAUUAAAUCGUACCCCAAACCGACACAGGUGGUCAGGUAGAGAAUACCAAGGCGCUUGAGAGAACUCGGGUGAAGGAACUAGGCAAAAUGGUGCCGUAACUUCGGGAGAAGGCACGCUGGCAUGUAGGUGAAGUCCCUCGCGGAUGGAGCUGAAGCCAGUCGAAGAUACCAGCUGGCUGCAACUGUUUAAUAAAACACAGCACUGUGCAAACACGAAAGUGGACGUAUACGGUGUGACGCCUGCCCGGUGCUGGAAGGUUAAUUGAUGGGGUCAGCCGCAAGGCGAAGCUCUUGAUCGAAGCCCCAGUAAACGGCGGCCGUAACUAUAACGGUCCUAAGGUAGCGAAAUUCCUUGUCGGGUAAGUUCCGACCUGCACGAAUGGCGUAAUGAUGGCCAGGCUGUCUCCACCCGAGACUCAGUGAAAUUGAACUCGCUGUGAAGAUGCAGUGUACCCGCGGCAAGACGGAAAGACCCCGUGAACCUUUACUAUAGCUUGACACUGAACAUUGAGCCUUGAUGUGUAGGAUAGGUGGGAGGCUUUGAAGCGUGGACGCCAGUCUGCGUGGAGCCAUCCUUGAAAUACCACCCUUUAAUGUUUGAUGUUCUAACUCGGCCCCAUAAUCUGGGGUGAGGACAGUGUCUGGUGGGUAGUUUGACUGGGGCGGUCUCCUCCCAAAGAGUAACGGAGGAGCACGAAGGUUAGCUAAUCACGGUCGGACAUCGUGAGGUUAGUGCAAAGGCAUAAGCUAGCUUGACUGCGAGAGUGACGGCUCGAGCAGGUACGAAAGUAGGUCUUAGUGAUCCGGUGGUUCUGAAUGGAAGGGCCAUCGCUCAACGGAUAAAAGGUACUCCGGGGAUAACAGGCUGAUACCGCCCAAGAGUUCAUAUCGACGGCGGUGUUUGGCACCUCGAUGUCGGCUCAUCACAUCCUGGGGCUGAAGUAGGUCCCAAGGGUAUGGCUGUUCGCCAUUUAAAGUGGUACGCGAGCUGGGUUUAGAACGUCGUGAGACAGUUCGGUCCCUAUCUGCCGUGGGCGUUGGAAGAUUGAGAGGGGUUGCUCCUAGUACGAGAGGACCGGAGUGAACGCACCACUGGUGUUCGGGUUGUCAUGCCAAUGGCAUUGCCCGGUAGCUAAGUGCGGAAAAGAUAAGCGCUGAAAGCAUCUAAGCGCGAAACUUGCCUCAAGAUGAGUCUUCCCUGGGCCUUUAAGGCCCCUGAAGGAACGUUUAAGACUAAGACGUUGAUAGGCUGGGUGUGUAAGUGCAGCGAUGCAUUGAGCUAACCAGUACUAAUGAUCCGUGAGGCUUAACCUUACAACACCGAAGGUGUUU
RNAcentral lists this ribosomal RNA (2933 nucleotides) under Serratia marcescens. RNAcentral describes it as "23S ribosomal RNA". It matches the Rfam family "Bacterial large subunit ribosomal RNA". Lineage: Bacteria; Pseudomonadati; Pseudomonadota; Gammaproteobacteria; Enterobacterales; Yersiniaceae. The record is from RNAcentral.